RNAcentral lists this transfer RNA (67 nucleotides) under Marmota monax (woodchuck). RNAcentral's name for it is "tRNA.Ala". It matches the Rfam family "tRNA", at positions 6 to 65 of the family's 71-position model. Rfam says of the family: Transfer RNA (tRNA) molecules are approximately 80 nucleotides in length. Their secondary structure includes four short double-helical elements and three loops (D, anti-codon, and T loops). The record is from RNAcentral. Lineage: Eukaryota; Metazoa; Chordata; Mammalia; Rodentia; Sciuridae.
GGCUGUAGCUCAGUGGUAGAGCAUUUGCCUAGCAUGCAUGAGGCCCCUGGUUCAAUCCCAAACACUG